Molecule: long non-coding RNA, 2668 nt
Filed under: Sus scrofa (pig)
Lineage: Eukaryota; Metazoa; Chordata; Mammalia; Artiodactyla; Suidae
Description: lncRNA (ENSSSCG00000057682.1)
Source: RNAcentral
CCACAGUCUGAUUUUAUUUUCAAAUGAUCACUCCAGCUGAUAUGAGAAGGCCCUAGUGGGGAAGAGAUCAAGAAGAUCAGUCAAGAUCCCACUACAGUGAUCUAGGUAAAAGGGGACAAUGUGUUGGACCAGAUUGGUAGCAAAAGAGGUGCUGAGAAGCAGCCAGAAUCAGGUGGAUUUUUCAGCAGAGAUAACAGAAUUUGUGAGAAAGAGAGAAAUUAGAGCUGCUGGCAAGGUCAGGCUUGUUCAGAAGAUGCAGUCAGGCACUGGCUAACAUUCGUACCCUAACUGCCAAAAUGUCCUGGGUACUGCGACAAGAUACUAAAAAAAAAAAAAAUGCCUCCUAGGAUUUUGGAGCCAAACCAGCUUUUAAAGGAACAAAAGGCAGAGGCUACUGAAGGAAAGGAAAUCCUAGCACAGUUCCAGAGUCAGGAUGCUUGGGUUCAAAUCCUAGAUUCACUUCUGUGUGACUUAAGGGCAAGUUAUCUAAAUUUUCCAAAUCUCAGGUUUGUUCAUCUAGAAAGUAAAGAUGACAAUAUCUGCUUCAUUGGACAGUAUGAGAAUUAAACGCAGUAUUUAUGUAAAGCUCUCAGCAUGGAUUUGACCGAAAGUAAAUGGUCCAUGAAUGUGAUGCAUUGGUUAGCUCUUGCUAAGUAACAACUCCUUCCCCCAACGCUAGUGACUUAAAAUAUGAAGCAUAUAAUUUUGCUCAUGAUCAUGUCAGCUAUUUUUUAGAGGGCCAAGCAGGACCAAAAAGAUGAGCUCUGUUUCUACAGGGCCUGUAAACAAAGAAAACAGUGGAAACAUAUAUGCACAAAGCUCACAAAUCUUUGCACAGGCUAUUGGAACUUGUUAAGCGUGGACUUAGACUGGCUGGGGGACCUGAGUUCUAGUUGGGCUGUGUGAUCUGGGGCCAGUUCCAUCCCUCUCUAUGCCUCAGUUUCCUCAUAUAUAAGGGAAGGUGCUGGAUCAGAGAUUCUGGAGGCUUUCCUCCAAGACACUAAUUCUCUUGAAUAUACGUAACACACCUACCUACCUGUGUCUUAAACAAAGAGGGGGCUUAUACAAAUCCAGAGUUAAGCAGUCUGGACUGAUGUGGAAGCUCAAUGACAUCAUAUGAACAAAUUCUCUUCUGUCUCUCUUCGCGCUGCCAUCCUUAGAGUGCAGGCUUCUUGUCUCAUGGUACCAAACAUCGCCUCUUUGUUCUAAGCAGGCAAAGGGAAAAGGCAUAAGGAGAACAAAUAUUUAUAACUGUGGAGUCUGUCAUUUUAUAUGAGGGAAGCAAGGGCUUGUGAUUCAAGCUUAUAACUUAUUAGCCAGAACUGUUCCCCGUGAUUACUGAGCUGGAAGGUGGCUAGGACUUCUGCCUGGGAGUCGGGUCAGUCAAUUCAUGGUGUUAGCUGCAAACACUAACUAUGAAGACAUAUAGUCUGGAGAGGGUGUUUUGGGUCCUCAUAGCCACAGGAGCUCUGGCCAGUCAGCUGGCUUCAUGGUGGCUAUGGAAAGGUUGUUCCCCUGGUAACAGUUCCCAUAUAAACCCAUGGGACUACAAAUUCCAAAAGAUAAGGACAUUGUUUGCUUAAUCUCAUUGCAGCUUCAGGACCUAGUUCAGGGCCUGGUACAUUGCAGCUGCAUGACAAACAUUUGUAUAAUGAACAAAUUGUCCAUCAAUGGAUACGGAUUUCAGUGGACUGGGGCAUUCGGGGAGUAAGGGAUCUGGAUAAUUGGAUUUUCUGGCAGCCUGAGGGUGAGGCAGAAAAGCUUAUGAUCUCAAAUUAAUUCUAGCAACACCAAGUGGCUUCCAUAGCCAAGGCUCCAAGGUAAAAAUAAAAACCCAUGUGCUAUGCAUGUGUCAUGGUCAGGGUCUCAGCAGGAGAUGACACAAUCAAGGUGGCUCAGGAGCGUAUAAUGAGGGACUACUUACAAAGGUGUGAGCAGGAUUAGGGGAAACCAGCCAGGGGUGGCGAAGACCCUGGGGGCUGGCAGUGCUGGGGAGCUGCUACCAGCCCUGCUGACAGAGGACAGGGAGAAAGUGGACUCUAAAAGAAGAGAGUUCCCUUCGUGGCUCAGCAGUUAACAAACAUGACUAGGAUCUGUGAGGAUGUGGGUUCCAUCCCUGACCUCACUCAGUGGGUGAAGGAUCUGGCAUAGCCAUGAGCUGUGGUGUAGGUCCCAGAUACAGCUCGGAUCUUGUGUUGCUAUGGCUGUGGUGUAGGCCGACAGCUGUAGCUUCGAUUUGACCCCUAGCCUGGGGACUUCCGUAUGCCUCAGGCCUUCCAUAGAGGAACACUGCCACUGGCCACUACCACAGACUGGGGCCCUAGCACCCUGCCCUCUCUCCUUCCAUCUGCUGCUUCCCCUGGUUUAUCUCAUCUGCUGAACUGGGGACCAGAGCAGGGCCUUACUGAUGCCAUCUGCUGAGAUCAAACUCUGGGGCACAAAGCAGGGAGCAGAGGCUAGAGAGAGGUGCUGGGGUGGGGUAGAUGGCAAAUACCCAGCACCGUGUAUGGUAUGACAUCUGCAUGAUUACUCUUGGAGGUGGCUAUUACUGUGUCUACUUCUAACUAGUCCAACAGAGGCCCAGAGUAGUUCCAUCACUUGUCCAGGUUCACCUAGCCCACGGACUAGAGCUCAGAUCACGUGACUCCCAUUCCCAGUGUGUGUGACU